This is a long non-coding RNA of Octodon degus (degu), 87 nucleotides long. RefSeq lists it as uncharacterized. NCBI's taxonomy places the organism in Eukaryota, Metazoa, Chordata, Mammalia, Rodentia, Octodontidae. The transcript is spliced from 3 exons. The record is from RefSeq and is a predicted model, not a curated record.
GAGAGGAACCUGGGGUGCACUGCUUUCCCUGAGCCAGUAGCGUGCUGAGCAGGACCUAGGGGACGGCAGAGUGAGACUGGGCCUAGG